GAUGAACGCUGGCGGCGUGCCUAAUACAUGCAAGUCGAGCGAACAGAUGAGGAGCUUGCUCCUCUGACGUUAGCGGCGGACGGGUGAGUAACACGUGGAUAACCUACCUAUAAGACUGGGAUAACUUCGGGAAACCGGAGCUAAUACCGGAUAAUAUAUUGAACCGCAUGGUUCAAUAGUGAAAGACGGUUUUGCUGUCACUUAUAGAUGGAUCCGCGCCGCAUUAGCUAGUUGGUAAGGUAACGGCUUACCAAGGCAACGAUGCGUAGCCGACCUGAGAGGGUGGUCGGCCACACUGUAACUGAGACACGGUCCAGACUCCUACGGGAGGCAGCAGUAGGGAAUCUUCCGCAAUGGGCGAAAGCCUGACGGAGCAACGCCGCGUGAGUGAUGAAGGUCUUCGGAUCGUAAAACUCUGUUAUUAGGGAAGAACAAAUGUGUAAGUAACUAUGCACGUCUUGACGGUACCUAAUCAGAAAGCCACGGCUAACUACGUG
This 497-nucleotide ribosomal RNA is filed under the name uncultured bacterium. RNAcentral's name for it is "partial 16S ribosomal RNA". It matches the Rfam family "Bacterial small subunit ribosomal RNA", at positions 28 to 507 of the family's 1533-position model. The record is from RNAcentral.